GAUCCCAGCUGUCUGAUGAUUUACAAGGGAUUCCUAUAAAGCUGGCUUCAAAAGUUGCACACACAGAGAAAAAGCUAAGAACUCAAGGCAGCACCUUGACCUUACAUUCCUGAAAGAGGAAUAUCACUUACUUCAAGUCUUGGCUAAUGUUGCUGCAUUAUGCUUGGUUGACAACGUUGUCGUGUGCAGUUUUAUGGAGAUGAACUGAUGAAUUAAUCAACUAAAACUCAAACAAUGAAUUCAGGAAGAUUUCUUUAAUGGGGUAUCAGCUAUUGUAAACAACAACAACAACCCAGAUGCAGUUGGGCGGAAAAAAAGUGGGAUUCUUUUAUUUCCACCGUGCUGUCAACAAUGAAAUCAAAUGCAGCUCUGUUUACAUGCAAAGGGCAGGGUUUAUUAUUCUCAUUCCUAAGAUGACGCAGCAGCAGCUGAGACAGAACUUGGAAAGGGGAAAAGGCCACUGGCAUGACACAGGGAAAUGCACUGGCUUCAGCUUUCAUCCAUCAAGGAGCAAUAAGAGGGAAAUUAUUAUUGGCUGCUUGUUGCAGGGUUUAAGCGCUUGGUCUUCCUUUCAGAUGGUUCUGACUUUUAAAUAGCUUCAAGCACCCCAGUCCUAAAUAUCAGCACUUAGAAUCAUAGAGUUGGAAGAGACCCCAAGCGCCAUGCAGUCCAAUCCCAUUCUGCCAUUCAGGAAUUCAUAGUUCAGUGAUGGUGAACCUUUUACAG
This is a long non-coding RNA of Sceloporus undulatus (fence lizard), 726 nucleotides long. RefSeq lists it as uncharacterized. Lineage: Eukaryota; Metazoa; Chordata; Lepidosauria; Squamata; Phrynosomatidae. The transcript has 3 exons. The record is from RefSeq and is a predicted model, not a curated record.